This is an unclassified non-coding RNA of Pan paniscus (pygmy chimpanzee), 96 nucleotides long. It matches the Rfam family "Y RNA". From Rfam's summary of the family: Y RNAs are components of the Ro ribonucleoprotein particle (Ro RNP), in association with Ro60 and La proteins. The Y RNAs and Ro60 and La proteins are well conserved, but the function of the Ro RNP is not known. The record is from Ensembl. Lineage: Eukaryota; Metazoa; Chordata; Mammalia; Primates; Hominidae.
AGCUAGUCUGAUGGUAGUGGAUCCCCAGAACUUAUUAACCUUAGUGUCACCAAUGUUGGUAUACAACCCCCCACAGCUAAAUUUGACUGGCUUUUA